UCUCCUGGAAACGGGUGGUAAUGCCGGAUGUUCCACAUGAGCGCAUGCGAGUGUGGGAAAGGCUUUUUGCGGCAUGGGAUGGGGUCGCGUCCUAUCAGCUUGUUGGUGGGGUAACGGCCUACCAAGGCGUUGACGGGUAGCCGGCCUGAGAGGGCGACCGGCCACAUUGGGACUGAGAUACGGCCCAGACUCCUACGGGAGGCAGCAGUGGGGAAUAUUGCACAAUGGGCGCAAGCCUGAUGUAGCGACGCCGCGUGCGGGAUGGAGGCCUUCGGGUUGUAAACCGCUUUUGUUCAAGGGCAAGGCACGGUUUCGGCCGUGUUGAGUGGAUUGUUCGAAUAAGCACCGGCUAACUACGUGCCAGCAGCCGCGGUAAUACGUAGGGUGCAAGCGUUAUCCGGAUUUAUUGGGCGUAAAGGGCUCGUAGGCGGUUCGUCGCGUCCGGUGUGAAAGUCCAUCGCUUAACGGUGGAUCCGCGCCGGGUACGGGCGGGCUUGAGUGCGGUAGGGGAGACUGGAAUUCCCGGUGUAACGGUGGAAUGUGUAGAUAUCGGGAAGAACACCA
RNAcentral lists this ribosomal RNA (564 nucleotides) under uncultured Bifidobacterium sp. RNAcentral describes it as "bacterial SSU rRNA". It matches the Rfam family "Bacterial small subunit ribosomal RNA", at positions 146 to 711 of the family's 1533-position model. The record is from RNAcentral. Lineage: Bacteria; Bacillati; Actinomycetota; Actinomycetes; Bifidobacteriales; Bifidobacteriaceae.